Neogale vison (American mink) is the source of this 4277-nucleotide RNA transcript. It is a transcript of the gene named myelin associated oligodendrocyte basic protein, with no coding region annotated. Lineage: Eukaryota; Metazoa; Chordata; Mammalia; Carnivora; Mustelidae. The transcript has 8 exons. The record is from RefSeq and is a predicted model, not a curated record.
GGCUUUCAACAAGAAGGGAGAGAGACGAAAACAAAAGAAGGAUGAAGGAAACUGAGCCUCAACUCCACCAGGGACCUGGCACAGACGUGGAGCCUGUUUCACACAACUGGUACUUGAAGGAAAAAAGGAGCAAAUGAUACCAAGACAAGCUCAUAACAAAGAUCUAAUCACCAAAUUUGUAUGGAUGAAAAUACAGUGAGAUGAGUCAGAAAACUACUAAGGAGGGUCCCAGACUCUCCAAGAACCAGAAGUUUACAGAGCACUUCAGCAUACAUUGCUGCCCACCAUUCACCUUCCUCAACUCCAAGCGUGAGAUCGUGGAUCGGAAAUAUAGCAUCUGUAAAAGUGGCUGCUUCUACCAGAAGAAAGAAGAGGACUGGAUCUGCUGUGCCUGCCAGAAGACCAGCACCAGACGCCGUGCAACGUCCCCUCAGAGGCCCAAGCUCCAGCCAGCUGCACCCCCCGCGGUGGUCAGAGCACCAGCCAAGCCACGGUCCCCUCCGAGGUCUGAGCGUCAACCACGCCCCCGCCCAGAGGUCCGAUCACCACCAGCCAAGCAGCGCCCCCCUCAGAAGUCCAAGCAGCCGCCGCGCAGCAGCCCCCAGAGAGGGCCAGGCACCAGCCGUGGGGGGUCCCCCAUCAAAGCUUCUAGGUUCUGAUUGAAAAGGAGGAGCAAGCCAACCCCACGGAAAAAGUGAGGGAGGAGUUUCAAGUGAAUGGACCACCUCAGGACCUGGACUCACUGCUUCUUGACUCACGUGCUCUUGGGCAAGUCACCUAGCUUCAAAUAUGGUGCAGGGGCAGACACCUGCUGAUGUGGCAACUACCAAUGCCCACAGUCCCCUCGGUGCAGGGGUUGCCGGGCAGCCUGCCUGGAGCCUUGUGAAGAUACCCCUCUGUUGUCUUCUGACCUCUGUCACUGCCAAUGAGAAAUAUGUUGUCAGUCUACUUGUUCUUCCAUUGACUCAAGUUCCUUCAAUCUGAAGAUAUAUAUCUUUCUUCAGGGAUGCACACAAAAAAAUAUGGUUGUAUAGCCACCAUAAUGGCAAAAAUAAAAAUUUAUCAAGUUUUGGGAAAAAUUCUGAUAAGCCACUGAUAAAAAUUUAUAAACUAUUGUAAUACUUCUGGGGUACAAAAUGGGGAUGCUAGCCAAAUAAGAUAUUAUAUAACUUAUGAUCAAGCAAUUAUAAUUCUAGGUACUGAUCCUGGAGAAAACUUGCAUUCAUGAGAAAAGGAGGCACACAUACAUCUAUUCAGUAAAGAAUUGUUUGCCAUUGGAAAAGAAGAGAGAGAAAGAGAAAGGAAUUAAUAAAAAUGUUCACUAAUAGAAUGAGUAAAUCAACAAUGGUAUACUUAUAAAUAAAAUUCUUAACAGCAGUUAAAACAAAUGAAUCAUAUAUACCUACACCAGGUACACAAAUUUGUAUGACAAAUGAAGAAUAUAAAAAGCAAACAAUUAAUGGUAAAUGCAAUCUGAUGCCCCAUGCAUACAUUUUAAUGACCCAUAAUACUAUAAUUGUGUGAUAAGCAGAAACCAUGAUAUCUCAAAUGCUCUCUAUAAUGGAAUAGAUUUUUAAAAAUGACAACAAAAAAUGAAAGCCUAUCUAAAAAAUAUCUAGCCCCCAGAAGUCAAAGGGAAGAUAUGAAAUAAUUCCUGGCUUGAAUAAAUAAGAGAUUAAAACCUGUAUAGAAAUAGUCAACAAUAUUAGCCAGACACAAAGGAGUUUGGCGGGAUAAGUGGGAGACUCAUGAUCAGCCUGGGGUCUUUCUAAGGUUACAAGUCUUAGAGAACAGAACACUUACUCAUUUUGGACCUGGGUUGUGCUGUGGCUUCAGGCAGAUUUCUGACAUGUGGACAAAGGGGUAGAGUUGAAUACACCAUCCCUCCCAACCUUCCUGUAGCAAUAGGUAGGAAAGCACAGUAGAAGAUAAUGGAAUGUUGCAGAAUGUGGAGGGAUGUAAAAUGGGUAGUAUUAGUAGGGGAAGCUCAGGAGAAUGAGGGCAUCUGAAGCAGUCUUGUGCUGGGGGUUGGGUGGCCAAGCGCAGGCAGAUGCCUGACACUCCAACAAGGCUGUGGCUCUGUGUCCUUGAGUGAGCACAGCCAGACCCAGCCAAGUUUAAAAGGCAAGUGGGAAUAUGGAGCAAUGCCAGAGGAAGUCUGCUUAAGGUGUGGGGUUUGGGGGAGAGGAAAACCAGAGAGUAGGGAGGAAAAAUGCUAGACUCAGGUAUGAUCCAGCUCAGAAGACUAUUCCUCUGCAAAGCAGAAUCAGGCCAAGUACUCCCAAGGCAACUGGAAGAACAAGUCAGAGCAUUUGGCUUCCUCAGCUGGGGAGGCCACUUCUCUGGGCAAGUGGCAAUAAAAAGGCAGGGGAAUUGAACUACACAAAGCCCUCAGGUAGAAAUGUUUCUCCUGCCUAACCUCGGGUGCUAAAUGAACAACAAAAUGAGAACCUCUACUAUGAACACUUUUUAACAAUGAGAUAUGUGAAGCCAUUACAUUCCUGGGAAUGACACCAGGGGUGCCAUGACAGCCCACUAGAAAGAUCAAAUUUGUUGGCCAACCCCACUCAAACCUAAUAAGGAAACUUAAUAUUCCUUCAGCCCAUUUUAGAUUUUGGCAGAGCCAGACCUCAUACUUAAUAACUUCCUUGGUUCUAUCCUUUAUAUCACUCAGAAGAUACAGAUAUUACAGAAUGCAAAAUCAAGAAGGAAAGAGCAUGGUGUAUAUUAACUUAUGUAAAAAACUGGAUAAUACCACAGAAAUGUUAAUAACUAGAAAUUACUGAAUUGUCUGUGUUUGUCUGUUGUGGAAAUAAAACCCCUGGGGAUGGAUCAAAAAUAUCUGGAAAUUACUUGAAACUAGUGGAUAACUAAAUGGAUAUUAUAACUAAAAUGUGCUGUAAUCCAAUUGUGGCCUUCUUUUUUUUUUUUUUUUUGUCUUCUAAGUGUUGGUUCUGGGAAGCAUUAUGCCAUGAAUACUGCAAAGAUUACAUAAAGCUCCAAAUGCUAUUCUAUGUAAACUUCUUAAGUGGGGAUUCUUGACCAUAAUGUUUGGCAUAUUAACUCUGCUAAUUCUGUAUGUUAAUUGAUUUUAUGUUCUGAUAUUUUGACUGGUUUUGGAAAAACUGAGUUGUCCCAAAGCUGAACCCAGAGUUGUCCUGUAAAUGCCUGACAACAGGAUUUUUGGGUGGAAAGCCCUGAUUUUUAGUGUUUGCCAAUUUCCAUGGUGUAAACACUUCUGCUAUGGUUGAUUGCAGGCUGUGAGCAUGAUGUCACUGAGUGCAGAAUCAGGGGUGAUGAAUGCAGCCGACUCUUGUAAGUUGGUGUACCCACUAGUACCCAAGGGCAGGAAAUGCAGUUUUUUUAACUAAAAAUCCUGUCACAUAGAUAUACAAAGGCACUAGUGAAAGAAUAAAUAAGAAGGAAAAAUCAAAUCAAAUCAAACUGGGAGCUCAAACAGAGAUAAUUGACAGUGGAUUUUUUUUUUUUAAUUUUAAGAAGGGGUAUUUGUGUAUCACCUGCAUUUUUUUGUCUUUUAUUAUGCAAACAAGGCAUCAGGGAUAUCACACUGAGUGCUCUGAACUCUUAGUUUCUUUGGUGUUCUCCUACACAAAGGCUUGGGCUGCUUUCCUUCCAGAUAUUAGUGUGAAGAUAGUGCUAACCAAAGAAUCAAUGGGAGCUCCACACUUUGGAGUCAGUUUCAGGAUGGCUGAGCUGAAGUUCAAAACAGAAGAAAAGAUAUGAGCCUUCUGAAUUUGGAGGAGGCAAUGCUGAUAUUUAGACCCAUGGUUUGGUAUGAUAAAUACAGAGCUUUUUUAAAAUUAACAUUAAUAAAAACAAGGAAAAUGAGUUGUUGAAAAAUUGAAAUGGAUGAAUAAACUCUUCUAUCAGAGUAAGGAAAGAAGAACUUACUAAAAUAGAGGUGAAUUGAAAAUAUCAAUACAAAUUCUGAACAUUUUUUAAAGGAGACUUUAUCUGUUCUGUCCCUACAAUGAUUCAUGCUGUUGGAUAUUUUUGCUAUCAUCUUGCCAAAUUCCAGUCAGAAUGUGGAACAAGCUUAUUUGUAGAACUAGUGCUUGUGGCUUCUAAAACUAUUCUCUAGGGAAAAAGACAAAUACCCUUGGGGGAUAGUUGAUUUCAUAAUUCUGGGCAGAGGAAAAAAAAAUCAGGAUUAGCUUAGGGAUGUUGAAAGAAAGCAAAGUUGCCCUAUGGUAUCAAAGAGGCGUAAGUCCAUAAUGUUGUAAAAAAGAAGAUAAAAUAGAUUUGCCUGAAAAACA